UCAAAGUGUUUGGUCUUGAAUUAUUCAUAACGACCUAAAAAUUUGAUAAAUAUGUAAAAUGUUUGUUUUGGUGUGAUUUAACUGUUUUAUUCCUCCCCGUAGUUGCAUUAUGGUAUUUCUGGGCUGUGGUGGUGAUUCACACGAUUUUCGAAUGCAUUUUGGCACCAUUCAUGCGAUAUUGCAGUUUUUGAUGGCUUCGAGAACCUUAUUUUGAAUCUAUGUGGAUAUAUUUUGAUCCGUUUGACGGAUGGUGGAAUGUCAAUUUUAGGCUGGAUAGACCCUUGAUUCAGGUCCCGAUGAACCCAUUUCGAUCUGUUGGUCAAAAAGAUGAAAAAUUGAAAAUAUAGGUGUGGAACCCACAUUUGAUCUAGACAACCUCAGAUAAAAAAUAUAACUGCACCAGAAGCUCCGGAAUAUCGAUUUUAGGGCGGUAACAUGUUUGGUGGGAUUUUACGGCUUUUAAAUCUCAUUUCGAUCCUUGAUUUGUAAAAUUAUGAUUUCGAAUUUCGAGGUUCAACUCUGUUAAAACGAUAUUUUUUCAAAAUUGAACUGCGCUCGGAACGUCGAAUUUAGUGUGGCUGCAUAGUUCGUUUAUAUAUGUCGGACUCCGAACGAAUUUCGAGCAUUCCGUCGAAGUCCGUUUGGACUUAGAAAAAUCUGCACUAUAGUAGAUUUUCUGCAAUAUAUAGCAGUUCAUUUUAGGUUUUUUUUUUUUUUUGACUCAUUUUGUUAAUUCUUUCACGUUAUCAGUUGAAAGUUAAACCCUAAAAUAGCGUGAGAGCUUAAAAGUGAAACUUGUGGAUGCUUGUGAAGCUAGAUUAACAUCUAUUUGUUGAUUCUAUUACAGAUUUAAG
This 854-nucleotide long non-coding RNA is filed under the name Capsicum annuum. Its description in RNAcentral is "long non-coding RNA (CANN_LNC005938)". Lineage: Eukaryota; Viridiplantae; Streptophyta; Magnoliopsida; Solanales; Solanaceae. The record is from RNAcentral.